UAGUAACGGCGAGUGAAGCGGCAACAGCUCAAAUUUGAAAUCUGGCGUCUUUGGCGUCCGAGUUGUAAUUUGCAGAGGGCGCUUUGGCAUUGGCAGCGGUCCAAGUUCCUUGGAACAGGACGUCACAGAGGGUGAGAAUCCCGUACGUGGUCGCUAGCCUUUACCGUGUAAAGCCCCUUCGACGAGUCGAGUUGUUUGGGAAUGCAGCUCUAAAUGGGAGGUAAAUUUCUUCUAAAGCUAAAUACUGGCCAGAGACCGAUAGCGCACAAGUAGAGUGAUCGAAAGAUGAAAAGCACUUUGGAAAGAGAGUUAAAAAGCACGUGAAAUUGUUGAAAGGGAAGCGCUUGCAGCCAGACUUGCCUGUAGUUGCUCAUCCGGGUUUCUACCCGGUGCACUCUUCUACGGGCAGGCCAGCAUCAGUUUGGGCGGUUGGAUAAAGGUCUCUGUCAUGUACCUCCCUUCGGGGAGAUCUUAUAGGGGAGACGACAUGCAACCAGCCUGGACUGAGGUCCGCGCAUCUGCUAGGAUGCUGGCGUAAUGGCUGUAAGCGGCCCGUCUUGAAACACGGACCAAGGAGUCUAACAUCUAUGCGAGUGUUUGGGUGUCAAGCCCGAGCGCGUAAUGAAAGUGAACGGAGGUGGGAACCUUUCGGGGUGCACCAUCGACCGAUCCUGAUGUCUUCGGAUGGAUUUGAGUAAGAGCAUAGCUGUUGGGACCCGAAAGAUGGUGAACUAUGCUUGAAUAGGGUGAAGCCAGAGGAAACUCUGGUGGA
RNAcentral lists this ribosomal RNA (772 nucleotides) under Epicoccum nigrum. RNAcentral's name for it is "eukaryotic LSU rRNA". It matches the Rfam family "Eukaryotic large subunit ribosomal RNA", at positions 81 to 871 of the family's 3401-position model. Lineage: Eukaryota; Fungi; Ascomycota; Dothideomycetes; Pleosporales; Didymellaceae. The record is from RNAcentral.